GACGAACGCUGGCGGCGUGCUUAACACAUGCAAGUCGAACGGAAAGGCCCUGCUUUUGUGGGGUGCUCGAGUGGCGAACGGGUGAGUAACACGUGAGUAACCUGCCCUUGACUUUGGGAUAACUUCAGGAAACUGGGGCUAAUACCGGAUAGGAGCUCCCGCUGCAUGGGGGGGGUGGGAAAGUUUCGGCGGUUGGGGAUGGACGCGCGGCUUAUCAGCUUGUUGGUGGGGUAGUGGCUUUCCAAGGCUUUGACGGGUAGCUGGCCUGGGAGGGUGACCGGCCACAUAGGGCUGGAGGUAGGGCCCGGACUGCUUCUGGAGGCAGGGGUGGGUGAUAUUGCACGAAGGGCGGAGGCAUGCUUGAGCAACGCCGGGUGCGGGAGGACGGCUUUCGGGAUGGAAACAGAUUUCGCCUGUGCCGAAGUGUGAGGAACGUAACUGAAGAAUAAGGCCCCGCUAACUUCGUU
RNAcentral lists this ribosomal RNA (467 nucleotides) under uncultured bacterium. RNAcentral describes it as "partial 16S ribosomal RNA". It matches the Rfam family "Bacterial small subunit ribosomal RNA", at positions 28 to 507 of the family's 1533-position model. The record is from RNAcentral.